Molecule: transfer-messenger RNA, 350 nt
Filed under: Rickettsiales bacterium
Lineage: Bacteria; Pseudomonadati; Pseudomonadota; Alphaproteobacteria; Rickettsiales
Rfam family: Alphaproteobacteria transfer-messenger RNA
About the family: Bacterial tmRNA, also known as 10Sa RNA or SsrA, is named for its dual tRNA and mRNA-like properties. Its role is to liberate the mRNA from a stalled ribosome. To accomplish this part of the tmRNA is used as a reading frame that ends in a translation stop signal.
Source: RNAcentral
AUACUUGUCAAAAAAUUAUCAACUAACUAUAAUUAAUAUUGCCUAGCAAUAGGAUAUGGCGAUAAACUUGAUUUAUAAUAACCAUUUGGACUCGGGGGCGGUACCCGACACCUCCACCAUUUAAUGAUAUUUGGGGGUGACAUAGUUUCGACAGAUGCUAAAAAAAUUAACUUUGCUCGGUUGAGAUACUGCCGGUUGUCAUUUGACAAUAUCCGUUCAAAAACAAUAAAUGCAAAUGAUAACUUUGCUAAUGACAAUUACGCGCCAGCUUAUGCUGAAGAAGCCUUCGCAUAAACUAUAGUGUUUUGUCGGGGUAUUCCGGCCUACCUGUCAACAGAAUUGGCCGGGCU